Regulatory RNA element from Gasterosteus aculeatus (three-spined stickleback), 54 nucleotides. It matches the Rfam family "UnaL2 LINE 3' element". From Rfam's summary of the family: The eel long interspersed element (LINE) UnaL2 and its partner short interspersed element (SINE) share a conserved 3' tail containing a stem-loop that is critical for their retrotransposition. Presumably, the first step of retrotransposition is the recognition of their 3' tails by UnaL2-encoded reverse transcriptase. The solution structure of a 17-nucleotide RNA derived from the 3' tail of UnaL2 was determined by NMR. The record is from Rfam. NCBI's taxonomy places the organism in Eukaryota, Metazoa, Chordata, Actinopteri, Perciformes, Gasterosteidae.
UUUAAAUUGUAAUAUAAGUCGCUUUGGAUAAAAGCGUCUGCUAAAUGACAUGUG